UACGGAAGGCAGCAGUGGGGAAUAUUGCACAAUGGGCGAAAGCCUGAUGCAGCUAUGCCGCGUGUAUGAAGAAGGCCUUAGGGUUGUAAAGUACUUUCAUCGGGGAGGAAAAAACAAAACUAAUAAUUUUAUUUCUUGACGUUACCCGAAAAAGAAGCACCGGCUAACUCCGUGCCAGCAGCCGCGGUAAUACGGAGGGUGCUAGCGUUAAUCAGAAUUACUGGGCGUAAAGAGCACGUAGGUGGUUUUUUUAAAGUCAGAUGUGAAAUCCCUGGGCUUAACCUGGAACUGCAUUUUGAAACUGAAAUACUAGAGUAUCGUAGAGGGAGGUAGAAUUCUAGGUGUAGCGGUGAAAUGCGUAGAUAUCUGGAGGAAUACCUGUGGCGAAAGCGGCCUCCUAAACGAAUACUAACACUGAGGGUGCGAAAGCGUGGGGAGCAAACAGGGAUUAGAUACCCGU
RNAcentral lists this ribosomal RNA (460 nucleotides) under uncultured bacterium. RNAcentral's name for it is "bacterial SSU rRNA". It matches the Rfam family "Bacterial small subunit ribosomal RNA", at positions 340 to 789 of the family's 1533-position model. The record is from RNAcentral.